AACGAACGCUGGCGGCAUGCCUAACACAUGCAAGUCGAACGAGACCUUCGGGUCUAGUGGCGCACGGGUGCGUAACGCGUGGGAACCUGCCCUUAGGUUCGGAAUAACUCCCCGAAAGGGGUGCUAAUACCGGAUAAUGUCUUCGGACCAAAGAUUUAUCGCCUUUGGAUGGGCCCGCGUUGGUUUAGCUAGUUGGUAGGGUAAAAGCCUACCAAGGCGACGAUCCAUAGCUGGUCUGUGAGGAUGAUCAGCCACACUGGGACUGAGACACGGCCCAGACUCCUACGGGAGGCAGCAGUGGGGAAUAUUAGGCAAGGGGCGAAAGCCUGAUCCAGCAAUGCCGCGUGAGUGAUGAAGGCCGUAGUGUUGUAAAGCUCUUUUACCCGGGAUGAUAAUGACAGUACCGGGAGAAUAAGCACCGGCUAACUCCGUG
Molecule: ribosomal RNA, 433 nt
Filed under: uncultured bacterium
Lineage: Bacteria
Description: partial 16S ribosomal RNA
Rfam family: Bacterial small subunit ribosomal RNA
Source: RNAcentral